GUAGUCCACGCUGUAAACGAUGAGUGCUGGGUGUUGUGGGUUACGACCUGCAGCGCCGAAGUCAACACGUUAAGCACUCCGCCUGGGGAGUACGGCCGCAAGGUUAAAACUCAAAUGAAUUGACGGGGGCCCGCACAAGCGGUGGAGCAUGUGGUUUAAUUCGAUGCAACGCGAAGAACCUUACCACCCCUUGACAUCCUGCGAACUUUCUAGAGAUAGAUUGGUGCCUUCGGGAGCGCAGAGACAGGUGCUGCAUGGCUGUCGUCAGCUCGUGUUGUGAAAUGUUGGGUUAAGUCCCGUAACGAGCGCAACCCCUAUCCCUAGUUACCAUCGGGUCAAGCCGGGGACUCUAGGGAGACUGCCCCGGAAAACGGGGAGGAAGGUGGGGAUGACGUCAAGUCCUCAUGGCCUCUAUGUCCCGGGCCACACACGUGCUACAAUGGGCGGUACAAAGGGUUGCAAUACAGCAAGGUGGAGCUAAUCCCAAAAAACCGCCCCCAGUUCGGAUUGGAGUCUGCAACUCGACUCCAUGAAGGUGGAAUCGCUAGUAAUCGCGGAUCAGCACGCCGCGGUGAAUA
This 578-nucleotide ribosomal RNA is filed under the name uncultured Terriglobales bacterium. RNAcentral's name for it is "bacterial SSU rRNA". It matches the Rfam family "Bacterial small subunit ribosomal RNA", at positions 790 to 1368 of the family's 1533-position model. Lineage: Bacteria; Pseudomonadati; Acidobacteriota; Terriglobia; Terriglobales. The record is from RNAcentral.